This 319-nucleotide long non-coding RNA is filed under the name Setaria italica (foxtail millet). Its description in RNAcentral is "long non-coding RNA (SITA_LNC000423)". The record is from RNAcentral. Lineage: Eukaryota; Viridiplantae; Streptophyta; Magnoliopsida; Poales; Poaceae.
UAUUAUGCAGAUUUCAUCACGAAAUUCAUUCAUAUUAUGGUCUUCAUCCCCUACUUGGGUAUUCAUCGCAUGUCCUUCAGAGUUCGAUGGUUCGGCCAUAGGAAUAAAAUUUUUAUCACAAUCGCACAUAUCAAAGGCCCUAUUGGCAAUAGCAUUCUCUCGAAUGAAAUUGUGAAUUGCCAUGCAUGCUACUAUUAUUUUGCUUUGCUUGUGAUUGAAAAACUUGGUAUACCCAACAAAUCCUCCACUUCAUCUUCAAAACUCCAAAGGACCUCUCGAUAACAUUUCUAAGGGACGAAUGUGCGUAAUUAAAUGUCUC